RNAcentral lists this ribosomal RNA (301 nucleotides) under uncultured bacterium. Its description in RNAcentral is "partial 16S ribosomal RNA". It matches the Rfam family "Bacterial small subunit ribosomal RNA", at positions 509 to 807 of the family's 1533-position model. The record is from RNAcentral.
CAGCCGCCGCGGGAAAACGAAGGGGGCUAGCGUUGUUCGGAUUUACUGGGCGUAAAGGGCGCGUAGGCGGGCUGAUAAGUCAGGGGUGAAAUCCCAAGGCUCGACCUUGGAACUGCCUUUGAUACUGUUUGUCUUGAGUUCGAGAGAGGUAAGUGGAACUGCGAGUGUAGAGGUGAAAUUCGUAGAUAUUCGCAAGAACACCAGUGGCGAAGGCGGCUUACUGGCUCGAAACUGACGCUGAGGCGCGAAAGCGUGGGGAGCGAACAGGAUUAGAUACCCCCGUAGUCCCUGUCUCUUAUAC